GACGAACGCUGGCGGCGUGCCUAAUACAUGCAAGUAGAACGCUGAAGAGAGGAGCUUGCUCUUCUUGGAUGAGUUGCGAACGGGUGAGUAACGCGUAGGUAACCUGCCUUGUAGCGGGGGAUAACUAUUGGAAACGAUAGCUAAUACCGCAUAACAAUAGGUGACACAUGUCAUUUAUUUGAAAGGGGCAAUUGCUCCACUACAAGAUGGACCUGCGUUGUAUUAGCUAGUAGGUGAGGUAACGGCUCACCUAGGCGACGAUACAUAGCCGACCUGAGAGGGUGAUCGGCCACACUGGGACUGAGACACGGCCCAGACUCCUACGGGAGGCAGCAGUAGGGAAUCUUCGGCAAUGGGGGCAACCCUGACCGAGCAACGCCGCGUGAGGGAAGAAGGGUUUCGGAUCGUAAAGCUCUGUUGUAAGUCAAGAACGAGUGUGAGAGUGGAAAGUUCACACUGUGACGGUAGCUUACCAGAAAGGGACGGCUAACUACGUG
This 497-nucleotide ribosomal RNA is filed under the name uncultured bacterium. RNAcentral describes it as "partial 16S ribosomal RNA". It matches the Rfam family "Bacterial small subunit ribosomal RNA", at positions 28 to 507 of the family's 1533-position model. The record is from RNAcentral.